CACACCGCCCGUCACACCACGAAAGUUUGCUGUACCUGAAGUCGUUGGCGCCAACCGCAAGGAGGCAGACGCCCACGGUAUGACCGAUGAUUGGGGUG
This 98-nucleotide ribosomal RNA is filed under the name uncultured bacterium. Its description in RNAcentral is "partial 16S ribosomal RNA". It matches the Rfam family "Bacterial small subunit ribosomal RNA", at positions 1386 to 1482 of the family's 1533-position model. The record is from RNAcentral.